This 68-nucleotide microRNA precursor is filed under the name Python bivittatus (Burmese python). RNAcentral's name for it is "Pbv-Mir-129-P4_pre stem-loop". It matches the Rfam family "mir-129 microRNA precursor family", at positions 7 to 72 of the family's 75-position model. Rfam says of the family: The mature sequence is excised from the 5' arm of the hairpin. Lineage: Eukaryota; Metazoa; Chordata; Lepidosauria; Squamata; Pythonidae. The record is from RNAcentral.
CUUUUUGCGGUCUGGGCUUUCUGGGUCUGUCCAACCCCGUAUCAGAAAGCCCUUACCCCAAAAAGCAU